UAUUGUUUAUCUUUUACUUUUAGACAAAACUUUAAUAUUAUUAAUUAUCAUGCUCUUUUAGACACACAUAUAUAUUCACACAAACAAGGUGAACUUGUUCAUUAGUAUAUCAAGAAGAUACAAAGAAAUGGCUCAAAAUCGAAAUUUUUUCAUUGCAGCCUUCAUCGCUCUUCUUGUGUUUGCUGGAGGAAUACACAACGGUGAAUGUAGAAAUAUCGUACGUAUCCGUUGUAUCGGUGCAUGUCCAGGGAAUUAUUUUUGUGAUAUCGAUUGUAAACACAAAGGCUAUACGAGAGGGGAAUGCAGUCCACCGCCGAAGUAUCAUGAUUGUUGUUGUGUACUUAAUUAAUGAUUAGCUUUAAUAUUUGAGCUAUUCUUCUAUAUGAAAUAAAAUGUUGUUCAAUAAUAAUUAAGCUUCAUUGCAACUAUAUAAAAACAUGAUAUAUUAUCAAGAAUUUGAAUUUAUCCGUCAUAUAUCACUUUUCCUUA
Long non-coding RNA from Medicago truncatula (barrel medic), 489 nucleotides. RefSeq lists it as uncharacterized. The record is from RefSeq and is a predicted model, not a curated record. Lineage: Eukaryota; Viridiplantae; Streptophyta; Magnoliopsida; Fabales; Fabaceae. The transcript is spliced from 2 exons.